AACGAACGCUGGCGGCAUGCCUAACACAUGCAAGUCGAACGAAACCUUCGGGCCUAGUGGCGCACCGGUGCGUAACGCGUGGGAACCUGCCCUUAAGUUCGGAAUAACUCCCCUUAAGGGAUGCUAAUACCGGAUAAUCUAUUAGGACCAAAGAUUUAUGGCCUUUGGAUGGGCCCGCGUUGGAUUCGCUAGUUGGUAGGGUAAAAGCCUACCAAGGCGACGAUGCAUAGCUGGUCUGAGAGGAUGAUCAGGCACACUGGGACUGAGACACGGCCCAGACUGCUACGGGAGGCAGCAGUGGGGAAUAUUAGGCGAGGGGCGAAAGCGUGAUACAGCAAUGCGGGGUGAGUGAUGAAGGCCGUAGGGUUGUAAAGUUCUUUUACACGGGAUGAUAAUGACAGUACCGGGAGAAUAAGCUCCGGCUAACUCCGUG
RNAcentral lists this ribosomal RNA (433 nucleotides) under uncultured bacterium. RNAcentral's name for it is "partial 16S ribosomal RNA". It matches the Rfam family "Bacterial small subunit ribosomal RNA", at positions 29 to 507 of the family's 1533-position model. The record is from RNAcentral.